GACGAACGCUGGCGGCGUGCUUAACACAUGCAAGUCGAACGGAAAGGCCCUGCUUUUGUGGGGUGCUCGAGUGGCGAACGGGUGAGUAACACGUGAGUAACCUGCCCUUGACUUUGGGAUAACUUCAGGAAACUGGGGCUAAUACCGGAUAGGAGCUCCUGCUGCGUGUUGGGCGUUGGAAAGUUUCGGCGGUUGGGGCUGGACUCGCGGCUUAUCAGCUUGUUGGUGGGGUAGUGGCUUACCAAGGCUUUGACGGGUAGCCGGCCUGAGAGGGUGACCGGCCACAUUGGGACUGAGAUACGGCGCAGACGCCUACGGGAGGCAGCAGUGGGGAAUAUUGCACAAUGGGCGGAAGCCUGAUGCAGCAACGCCGCGUGCGGGAUGACGGCCUUCGGGUUGUAAACCGCUUUCGCCUGUGACGAAGCGUGAGUGACGGUAAUGGGUAAAGAAGCACCGGCUAACUACGUG
RNAcentral lists this ribosomal RNA (468 nucleotides) under uncultured bacterium. Its description in RNAcentral is "partial 16S ribosomal RNA". It matches the Rfam family "Bacterial small subunit ribosomal RNA", at positions 28 to 507 of the family's 1533-position model. The record is from RNAcentral.